RNAcentral lists this unclassified non-coding RNA (518 nucleotides) under Aspergillus terreus. Its description in RNAcentral is "sequence contains 18S rRNA gene, ITS1, 5.8S rRNA gene, ITS2, 28S rRNA gene". The stretch from base 196 to 349 matches the Rfam family "5.8S ribosomal RNA". Lineage: Eukaryota; Fungi; Ascomycota; Eurotiomycetes; Eurotiales; Aspergillaceae. The record is from RNAcentral.
GAUCAUUACCGAGUGCGGGUCUUUAUGGCCCAACCUCCCACCCGUGACUAUUGUACCUUGUUGCUUCGGCGGGCCCGCCAGCGUUGCUGGCCGCCGGGGGGCGACUCGCCCCCGGGCCCGUGCCCGCCGGAGACCCCAACAUGAACCCUGUUCUGAAAGCUUGCAGUCUGAGUGUGAUUCUUUGCAAUCAGUUAAAACUUUCAACAAUGGAUCUCUUGGUUCCGGCAUCGAUGAAGAACGCAGCGAAAUGCGAUAACUAAUGUGAAUUGCAGAAUUCAGUGAAUCAUCGAGUCUUUGAACGCACAUUGCGCCCCCUGGUAUUCCGGGGGGCAUGCCUGUCCGAGCGUCAUUGCUGCCCUCAAGCCCGGCUUGUGUGUUGGGCCCUCGUCCCCCGGCUCCCGGGGGACGGGCCCGAAAGGCAGCGGCGGCACCGCGUCCGGUCCUCGAGCGUAUGGGGCUUCGUCUUCCGCUCCGUAGGCCCGGCCGGCGCCCGCCGACGCAUUUUUUUGCAACUUGUU